Molecule: long non-coding RNA, 2322 nt
Organism: Neopelma chrysocephalum (saffron-crested tyrant-manakin)
Lineage: Eukaryota; Metazoa; Chordata; Aves; Passeriformes; Pipridae
Exons: 6
Source: RefSeq, a predicted model, not a curated record
CCAGGGCUUCACCCCCCUCACAGGGAAGAUUUUUUCUUUUUCUCCUUCUCUCUAAAAGACACCAAGCAGAAAUGACUGUGCCCUUCUGCCACCAGAGGACAGGUUGAUCGCUGAAUUCAUCGUGGUUAUUUUGUUAUCACCACACCGACUUUGGGACGAUUUUUUUCUCAUUUUUUAAUGUUUUUUUUUUCCUGAAAUCUCGUCUGUCAGCAGUAGUAGGUGAUCAGCAAUCACCACCUAACAGAAAACAACAUAGUAAAAUGUUCUCAGAUACUGCCAUAGAUGCAGAUAGAAAGAGUAUUUUUCACCUGAAGGAUACUGAGGCACUUGGAAAAGGCAGUGAUGAACAUACUGUACGUGUCUGGGAGUCGUUGCCUACGCUGCUGACACAGAUCCUGCCGGAGGUGACGGGUGUCUGAGCAGGAGCAGUGUCUAUAUUCCAAGGCAAGAAGCCUUAGUAAGAAGCUAAAGAACUUGCUUCUGUGUCAGGAUCUGCAGCCAGAGGUUUGAGUUCAGGUGAAAGAGGAAGGCAGAACUAUGAAGAAGGUGAUUCAUGCUGCAUACCUUGCAGAAGAAGGAGAUCCCUUCUGCUUAUCUCUAUCACUGGAAGGAGCCCGAGUUCAGUGCUACCUGAUGGAAUGGGAAAAACUAGGUCAGCAAAACACUGUUAUGUUGAUGGCCCCUGCUGACAGAGACUAGCAAGAAACAAGUCUUCAUAGAAGAUGAAAUGCAUAUUUCAUUGGAGGAAGUGGAAGUGUUGCUCUGUAUUUCAACUUGCUCAGACCUACAGUGCAACAUUUAACCUCAUGGUAAGCCUGUUCUUCCCUCUGUAAAAGCUUGAAGUAUUCACAGAAAAAGCACUUGUUUUGUCAUGAAAAUGGGAUGAAUAUAUGAAUCCAAAAGAAUACAGUUUAGAAAACUUCCAAACUUACCAGCAUCAUUAUUUGCAGAAUUCAGACAAUGCCGCGUGUAAGAAAAAAUGUGUAAGAGCAGCUGCAUCUGCUUGUCAGCUACAAUUGGUAUAAACAGAGAUUCCUACAUUAUCCUGUUAGACCUCCUACAUCCAAAUAAUGUAUAAAACCAACUGCUGAUGUCAAAACCUGUUAGGAUUUUUUGGUGAAGAGUUAUGCUUCAUCUAAACUAAGACUUUUGCAGGAACCUAACAGGUUUAUAUGGCCAGGGAAUUAAGGGAGGAGAAUGAGCAGAUGUUGCUGGUCUGUAGGGUCUGUGGAUAGAAGGGGAUUGCAUGAUAUCCCUCCUCCAGGAGACAUACAAGUGCUGAUGGAGGUGAGGACAGGUUUCUCCAUGAGACUUUACAGCUCCUCAGGGUAACUACUUUCCAUCUCACGGACACCUCGGGGCAUAGACAGCUUCCAGCACCCUUCCAAAAUGACAAACUGUAUCCAAAGGCCGUGAAAACUAAUCUGUUACCUCAGCCCUUUGAUAGUGUCCAGAGAAGUCUGGGCUCUGUUUACAGAGGCAUAGAGAAAUUUGGCCUUGCAGGCAGAGAUUUAAAUAAACCAAACUCCUACAAUGCCAAAUGAAAGCAAAGGUGGAUAAGGGACCAUCAAGAUUUACUCAACUGGUCAGGAGCAAAACCCAGCCCCCAGGCUGCAGAGCAAUGUUAUGAACUCCAGACAGAGGUACCCCAGGGAGAAGGAUCCUAUAGUCAUCUCCACAGAGUCAUUUAGGUGCCAAAAGUCAUUUGAAGCCCACAGAAGUCAAUAGUUAACGAGAUGCCUGGCCCAGAGGCGGGUGUCUGCAUGUCUUGGAAGGUUUAGCUCUCAGAGUUAAUUCCAAUUUCUUUCCCCUGGGUGCUUUGAAUCAUCUGAGACAAUCUUGGGUGUUUAAGAGAUCCACAUCACCCUGUCAGAAAUCGUCUAGGAUUUAUGGGGACCUGUAGUUUUUUGGAAUGACAGUGAGUGACCACGGGCAUGUCCUGGAGCAUUUCUAAUGAACUCAGAUUUCUACAUAGGCAAGUGAGUUUUUUUAAAAAUGAGUGCCUUUGCUUUGCUCUCCACUCUGCCAUUAAUAAAGUAUAAUGAAUGUGUUUUGUUGCUUUAGCAAGGACUGUGUUUUAAAUAUCACUCUCCUCUCCAUUUUUUUUUUAUGUGUGUGUUUUGUUUUGUUUUUUUUUCUCUCUAAUCCCCUGGAGGUCUGAAAGGUAAAAUAAAGCUUUCCUGUUCAAUUGCUUGGUACAAUAUUUGCUUGCAAACACAGGGCGUGGUUCAGGGUGUGAUUCUUUUCUCUCUGGCCACAAAAUUACUCACGCCAGUAUACAAGCUCCAACUCAGCUGUUCACAUUAUUGUCUACCAAUAUAU